GACGAACGCUGGCGGCGUGCUUAACACAUGCAAGUCGAGCGGUAAGGCCCUUUCGGGGGUACACGAGCGGCGAACGGGUGAGUAACACGUGGGUGACCUGCCCUUAGCUCUGGGAUAAGCCUGGGAAACUGGGUCUAAUACCGGAUAUGACUCCAUGACGCAUGUUGUGGGGUGGAAAGCCUUGUGCGGCUAGGGAUGGGCCCGCGGCCUAUCAGCUUGUUGGUGGGGUGAUGGCCUACCAAGGCGACGACGGGUAGCCGGCCUGAGAGGGCGACCGGCCACACUGGGACUGAGACACGGCCCAGACUCCUACGGGAGGCAGCAGUGGGGAAUCUUGCGCAAUGGGCGAAAGCCUGACGCAGCGACGCCGCGUGGGGAUGACGGCCUGGUGU
RNAcentral lists this ribosomal RNA (392 nucleotides) under uncultured bacterium. RNAcentral's name for it is "bacterial SSU rRNA". It matches the Rfam family "Bacterial small subunit ribosomal RNA", at positions 28 to 422 of the family's 1533-position model. The record is from RNAcentral.